This is a non-coding RNA of Paramuricea clavata, 843 nucleotides long. The record is from the annotation of a GenBank genome assembly. Lineage: Eukaryota; Metazoa; Cnidaria; Anthozoa; Malacalcyonacea; Plexauridae.
UUUAAAGGCCUGUCAGGCCCCACACCUUUUGUUUUAAGAGGAUUGAGAUCACGUGAGCUCUUCAUGCAAAUUGCCUGCACACGUAAUAAUGUCACAAAGGACGAUUCACUUGAAUAACUGGAUGACGUGUCUAUGGUUCAGUUCCGAAUUCCGCCUAGCGUCGACUAGGUUUUCUGUAAAUUAUUAUUCUUACUAGAUAUAUAGGUUGCUUCUUAAGACAAUGCUUCAAUGUAAAGUUUUUAAUUUCAAAAUGUAAGAGUGGACCGGCAAAUAAGGUAAAGGGUUAACCGACACUCAAAUGUGCCUAUUAAGUACGACAGAAGAAAGGCCGAAGGGGAAAAGUCAGGUGUGAAUCAGGCUUUAGACGCCGGUGUGGUUUUCAUGCGCCGAUCCUAAAGGUCCAUACACACCGAACGCAAUUCGACAACGCGACGCGAUUUUUCGAUUUUCACUGACCGAUAACUUUGAUCCUAGUUAAAUUUUCCAAAUACUUAGAAGCGCUAUAACAUUUUGAGUUAUUUGGUCCACAUAUCUUUCAAAAUUUGCUCUCAUUGGCUGUUUUAUUAACUUUCAAAAACUAAAAAAUCGCGUCGCGUUGUCGAAUCGCGUCCGGUGUGUAUGGACCUUCAGCCAUAAUGCAUAAUUUUUUUUCAUCGUACGUUAUAUCACAUGAUUAUCUUAUAUUUACAAUUUAGCACUUGUAUUGCCGAACUUGUGCCAUAUUUAAUUCAACCCAUUCUCUUCGUUUGUAUGAUCAAGCCAUUAGGUUCGCCGUCUAAACCGGGGCCUAAUGUAAUGUAGUAAUGAUGGUCAUUAUUAUAAUGUACAAAUAAAUAUACAGAC